RNAcentral lists this ribosomal RNA (448 nucleotides) under uncultured bacterium. RNAcentral's name for it is "partial 16S ribosomal RNA". It matches the Rfam family "Bacterial small subunit ribosomal RNA", at positions 330 to 792 of the family's 1533-position model. The record is from RNAcentral.
ACCAGACUCCUACGGGAGGCAGCAGUGGGGAAUAUUGGGCAAUGGGCGCAAGCCUGACCCAGCAACGCCGCGUGAAGGAAGAAGGCUUUCGGGUUGUAAACUUCUUUUAUGAGGGACGAAAGAAAUGACGGUACCUCAUGAAUAAGCCACGGCUAACUACGUGCCAGCAGCCGCGGUAAUACGUAGGUGGCAAGCGUUAUCCGGAUUUACUGGGCGUAAAGGGCGCGUAGGCGGGAACUUAAGUUAGAUGUGAAAACUCCGGGCUCAACCUGGAGACUGCAUUUAAAACUGGGUUUCUUGAGGGCAGGAGAGGAAAGUGGAAUUCCUAGUGUAGCGGUGAAAUGCGUAGAUAUUAGGAGGAACACCAGUGGCGAAGGCGACUUUCUGGACUGUACCUGACGCUGAGGCGCGAAAGCAUGGGGAGCGAACAGGAUUAGAUACCCCCGUA